UACAGAGGGUGCGAGCGUUGUUCGGAAUUAUUGGGCGUAAAGGGCGCGUAGGCGGUGCGGUAAGUCACCUGUGAAAUCUCCUGGCUCAACUGGGAGCUUGCAGGCGAAACUGCCGUGCUGGAGUGUGGGAGAGGUGCGUGGAAUUCCUGGUGUAGCGGUGAAAUGCGUAGAUAUCAGGAGGAACACCUGUGGUGUAGGCGGCUUUCUGGACCAUAGCUGACGCUGAGACACGAAAGCGUGGGUAGCAAACAGG
This 253-nucleotide ribosomal RNA is filed under the name uncultured bacterium. RNAcentral describes it as "partial 16S ribosomal RNA". It matches the Rfam family "Bacterial small subunit ribosomal RNA", at positions 524 to 776 of the family's 1533-position model. The record is from RNAcentral.